RNAcentral lists this ribosomal RNA (647 nucleotides) under bacterium HN2-5-28. Its description in RNAcentral is "bacterial SSU rRNA". It matches the Rfam family "Bacterial small subunit ribosomal RNA", at positions 338 to 974 of the family's 1533-position model. The record is from RNAcentral.
CCUACGGGAGGCAGCAGUAGGGAAUCUUCCACAAUGGGCGAAAGCCUGAUGGAGCAACGCCGCGUGAGUGAAGAAGGUUUUCGGAUCGUAAAACUCUGUUGUAAGGGAAGAACAAGUGCAGUAGUAACUGGCUGCACCUUGACGGUACCUUAUUAGAAAGCCACGGCUAACUACGUGCCAGCAGCCGCGGUAAUACGUAGGUGGCAAGCGUUGUCCGGAAUUAUUGGGCGUAAAGCGCGCGCAGGCGGUUUCUUAAGUCUGAUGUGAAAGCCCUCGGCUUAACCGAGGAGGGUCAUUGGAAACUGGGAGACUUGAGUGCAGAAGAGGAAAGUGGAAUUCCAAGUGUAGCGGUGAAAUGCGUAGAGAUUUGGAGGAACACCAGUGGCGAAAGGCGACUUUCUGGUCUGUAACUGACGCUGAGGCGCGAAAGCGUGGGGAGCAAAACAGGAUUAGAUACCCUGGUAGUCCACGCCGUAAACGAUGAGUGCUAAGUGUUAGGGGGUUUCCGCCCCUUAGUGCUGCAGCUAACGCAUUAAGCACUCCGCCUGGGGAGUACGGUCGCAAGACUGAAACUCAAAGGAAUUGACGGGGGCCCGCACAAGCGGUGGAGCAUGUGGUUUAAUUCGAAGCAACGCGAAGAACCUUAC